AUAGGAAGAAAAAAAAAAAACAAAAGAAGAGAUCUGAAUAUUUUGAGUGAAAAACCGUGAGAGAGAAGGGAGAAGGGAGAAAGAAGAAGAAGAAGAGAAAAGAGGGAAAUUAGAAAGGAAAUAGAAAUGAGUUGGAGGAAAUAAGUAAAAAGAUAAUCCUGAUAUUCUACCGGCGGGACGUCAGUAGGAUUUCCUUUGAUAUCAGCUUUGAGUUUUGUUGCUUUUGAGUCAGGUGAGUGGAUAAUUUUCCAUAUGCAUAAGAAAUAUUAUAAAUAUUUGAUUUGUUAAUAUGAAUUGGAUCAUGCUUCUUGAUAAUAUAUAUGUUGAUUAUUAUCCUUGUUUUGAUAAAGCAUGAUCAAUUGUUGAAUCUGAAUUCUUGAUAUGAACCAGUAUAUAUUUUGAAUUGAAUUCUGAAUUGAUAGCUCCUCAUUUGAUUGAUGUCAUGAGUUGAGCCUUGAGAUAUGAAUAUGUCUGUUUGAUUAUGAUUAUGAACCUAUGGUAUGUCAGUCAGAAUACUCAUGCUAACAGGGUAGUGUUAGUCUUUGUGCACAUCGUAUCUGAACCCUAGUUGGUCGGGGGAGUCACCAACCUGUGUGGACUGAUCAUCCCACAGUACGGAGCCUCAUGCUCAUUGCAUUUUGAUUUUCUGACGAGCUUUACCAUAUGAUAUUCUUGUUAUGGCCUAUUUGAGAAACCUUUCUAUAAGAACCUAGAGCCAUACUUGUAUAUAUAUUUCUCAUUGCUGUAUUACCUCGUGUGUGUAUAUUGAACGUUAUCUACUCACUGAGUUGUUGAACUCACCCUCUCAUUAUUAUUCUUUUCAGGCUUAUAGCUUGAUAGCAGGUCAUUUUGUUGGACAUUCAGAACCUGCUCUUUUGGUUGUACUGUGUACCUUUCUUUUAUGUCUAGUUAGUGCUCCAAAACUCUGAACUUAUAUAAAGUCUUGUAUUAAGACAAUUCAAUUAUAUUAUGAAAUUUAUUUUGUUAUUAUGCU
Long non-coding RNA from Populus trichocarpa (black cottonwood), 994 nucleotides. RefSeq lists it as uncharacterized. The transcript is spliced from 2 exons. Lineage: Eukaryota; Viridiplantae; Streptophyta; Magnoliopsida; Malpighiales; Salicaceae. The record is from RefSeq and is a predicted model, not a curated record.